Long non-coding RNA from Micropterus salmoides (largemouth bass), 1229 nucleotides. RefSeq lists it as uncharacterized. Lineage: Eukaryota; Metazoa; Chordata; Actinopteri; Centrarchiformes; Centrarchidae. The record is from RefSeq and is a predicted model, not a curated record. The transcript is spliced from 2 exons.
GUCUUCCAGUAUCUUCAACCAAGUCCAGUUGCCCUUGAUUUUAACCUUCGUUGGAUAACUAUGACCUGGAUGACUGAGAAUCUUCAUAGACAUGUAUAGAGACAGUGGUCCUCAUUCAUCAAACUGUUGUACCAUCAAAUCUGAUCUCAAAGUGUUUGUUCUCUCAUUUCAACACUAAACUACUGAUCAGUUCAUCUUUGUCACAGCUCUGAGAUCAGUCUGACUGAAGCCUGCAAAUCACUGGCUCUUAUUUCAGAGAACCAUCAUUACAUUUAGUAACCAUGAGGUCUUUCUACAGACUAGAACCUCUGCUGAAGUCCACUGGAAGGAGUGAUCUCCGUCAGACUGCGAGGAAUCAGAAAGGUGGUGGUGUUGAGAGAGGAUCAGCUGUGUCCUGAUGAUCCAGAGAGGUUGAAGCAGCAACAUCAGCUUGUGUGUGGAGAGGCUCUGACUGGGCCAUGUUACUGGGAGGUAGAGUGGAGAGGAGAGCUUCAUCCAGCAGUGACUGACAGAGGAAUCCCAACAGUGCUGCAGUCUGAACUGCCCUGUGAAAGAGUGAUUUAUGAUUCUGGGACAUUAACUUGUUACUUCCUCUUGCUCAUGACACUGAUUGGAAACUCACUAUUUAAACUGCUUGCACUUUAAUCAAACAAACACUAAUAAUGCUAUUUAUCAUGAGCAAGUACACUUUCAGACACUUUACUCAAUGGCUGUCUGACAAACAUAACGUAAUAAAUGUAAUAAUUUAUCGCUGUAAAUCAUCCCGUUUCACCAAUUCUACUGCAAACAGUUACUGACACUUUCAACUAAAAUAUUCUUUAUUUCAACAAUCCACUUCAAAAUUAAGUAUUCAUAUUAAUGCCGGCUUUCAUCCAUGUCCUGUCUGAAGUUAUGGAAUGUAUACUAGCUAGCCAAAGUUCCGUACGGCGGUCCAUAGUUGCCUGUCUAAUAAUAGCAAUAUUAUAUACCUAUAUUGGGGGGGGGGGGGGAUUUUGAGCAUAUUUGAAUAUGGGGGGGUGGUGGAAGUGUCCCAACGGAUAUAUAUUAUGAUUACGGCCUUGAUGUGAACACUUUCUUUCUGACUGACUUCAUUUUACUAAAUUUAAGUUUAAUUAUUAUUUAGUUAAAUACUUUUUAUAUUUUCUGUAUUUUGUAUUCAUAGUUCCUCCAGGCUUUUUUCACUUUGGAAUAAUAACAUUGAAAUGAUCAAUAAAUGAGCCUUAAAUAGA